Molecule: transfer RNA, 75 nt
Filed under: Candidatus Aminicenantota bacterium
Lineage: Bacteria; Candidatus Aminicenantota
Description: Candidatus Aminicenantes bacterium tRNA-His
Rfam family: tRNA
About the family: Transfer RNA (tRNA) molecules are approximately 80 nucleotides in length. Their secondary structure includes four short double-helical elements and three loops (D, anti-codon, and T loops).
Source: RNAcentral
GUGAGUGUAGCUCAAUGGUAGAGUAUCGGAUUGUGGAUCCGAACGCUGCGGGUUCAAAUCCCGUCACUCACCCCA